CAGCUGUGACUUACAAUGGAGUUGAUAACAACAAGAAUAAAGGGCAGCUGACUAAGUCUCCCGAUUCCUGUUGGUGCAACCCCAGAGCUGCUGCACAGCGGAAGAGGCCUUGGCACACCCAUUCUUCCUGCAGUACGUGGUGGAGGAAGUGCGGCACUUCAGCCCCCGGGGGAAGUUCAAGGUGAUCGCUCUGACUGUGGUGGCUUCAGUGCGGAGCUACUACCAGUACCACCGGGUGAACCCGGUGACCCGGGAGAUCGUCAUCCGAGACCCACCCCUACACCCUCCAGCCUCUGCGCCGGCUCAUCGACGCCUACGCUUUCUGAAUCUAUGGCCCCUGGGUGAGGAAGG
Homo sapiens (human) is the source of this 351-nucleotide long non-coding RNA. Lineage: Eukaryota; Metazoa; Chordata; Mammalia; Primates; Hominidae. The record is from Ensembl.